This is a long non-coding RNA of Haliotis rubra (blacklip abalone), 297 nucleotides long. RefSeq lists it as uncharacterized. The transcript is spliced from 3 exons. NCBI's taxonomy places the organism in Eukaryota, Metazoa, Mollusca, Gastropoda, Lepetellida, Haliotidae. The record is from RefSeq and is a predicted model, not a curated record.
UAGCUCAAAAUGGCGACUGAGGCUAAUCGCUAAUUACGUCUUGAAUUCUUGAAAAUUGAGUUCAGUGAGAAUGUGAAAAGGCUAAAAUGCCUACACCAGAAUCAACAGUCGCUUCUGUCUCGACGAUAGAGUCAGAAUUGUAUUUCCUCAUCGCUCGAUUCCUGUCUUCGGGGCCAUGUAAGAAGGCAUCAGAAGUGCUGCUUGGGGAGCUGAAAGAACACAAGGUUAGUAAUCGACAGUCCAUGUGAAGAACUUCUCUUUCGAGUUUCGCGCUUUUCGUCCGAUAUUUGUGAUUUU